RNAcentral lists this ribosomal RNA (406 nucleotides) under uncultured bacterium. Its description in RNAcentral is "partial 16S ribosomal RNA". It matches the Rfam family "Bacterial small subunit ribosomal RNA", at positions 29 to 526 of the family's 1533-position model. The record is from RNAcentral.
AUUGAACGCUGGCGGCAGGCCUAACACAUGCAAGUCGAACGAGUGGCGGACGGGUGAGUAAUGUCUGGGAAACUGCCCGAUGGAGGGGGAUCACUACUGGAAACGGUAGCUAAUACCGCAUACCAUCGGAUGUGCCCAGAUGGGAUUAGCUAGUAGGUGGGGUAACGGCUCACCUAGGGGACGAUCCCUAGCUGGUCUGAGAGGAUGACCGGCCACACUGGAACUGGGACACGGUCCAGACUCCUACGGGAGGCAGAAGUGGGGAAUAUUGCACAAGGGGCGCAAGCCGGAUGCAGCCAUGCGGCGUGUAUGAAGAAGGCCUUCGGGUGGUAAAGUACUUUCAGCGGGGAGGCGGUACCCGCAGAAGAAGCACCGGCUAACUCCGUGCCAGCAGCCGCGGUAAUAC